This 200-nucleotide ribosomal RNA is filed under the name uncultured eukaryote. RNAcentral's name for it is "partial 18S ribosomal RNA". It matches the Rfam family "Eukaryotic small subunit ribosomal RNA", at positions 588 to 791 of the family's 1831-position model. The record is from RNAcentral.
GCUCCAAUAGCGUAUAUUAAAGUUGUUGCGGUUAAAAAGCUCGUAGUUGGAUUUCUGCCAAGGACGAUCGGUCCGCCUCUGGGUGAGCAUCUGGCUCGGCCUAGGCAUCAUCUUGGAGAGCGUCGCUGCACUUGAUUGUGUGGCACGGUAUCCAGGACAUUUACUUUGAGGAAAUUAGAGUGUUCACGGCAGGCAAUCGC